GAUGAACGCUGGCGGCGUGCUUAACACAUGCAAGUCGAACGGUGAAGCAGAGCUUGCUCUGUGGAUCAGUGGCGAACGGGUGAGUAACACGUGAGCAACCUGCCCCUGACUCUGGGAUAAGCGCUGGAAACGGCGUCUAAUACUGGAUAUGAGCUGCGACCGCAUGGUCAGCAGUUGGAAAGAUUUUUCGGUCUGGGAUGGGCUCACGGCCUAUCAGCUUGUUGGUGAGGUAAUGGCUCACCAAGGCGUCGACGGGUAGCCGACCUGAGAGGGUGACCGGCCACACUGGGACUGAGACACGGCCCAGACUCCUACGGGAGGCAGCAGUGGGGAAUAUUGCACAAUGGGCGAAAGCCUGAUGCAGCAACGCCGCGUGAGGGAUGACGGCCUUCGGGUUGUAAACCUCUUUUAGCAGGGAAGAAGCGAAAGUGACGGUACCUGCAGAAAAAGCGCCGGCUAACUACGUG
Molecule: ribosomal RNA, 467 nt
Filed under: uncultured bacterium
Lineage: Bacteria
Description: partial 16S ribosomal RNA
Rfam family: Bacterial small subunit ribosomal RNA
Source: RNAcentral